RNAcentral lists this long non-coding RNA (247 nucleotides) under Gossypium barbadense (sea-island cotton). RNAcentral's name for it is "long non-coding RNA (GBAR_LNC011523)". The record is from RNAcentral. Lineage: Eukaryota; Viridiplantae; Streptophyta; Magnoliopsida; Malvales; Malvaceae.
ACAAACCAAAACCAAGCACAAUAAAUACCAUAAACAAUAACAUUCAAAAACAUUGUAGAUAAGAAAAAUUAAAAAAGAUUAAAAAAGAGACAAAUUCACCGACGAAGCAAAGAAACCCUUCAAGAAGUCCUAUCACAAUAGCAGCUUUUGACAGAGAUCCAUCACGUCAACCCCAGGCAUCGUACACCAUCAAAAAAUCCUCAAAAGUAAAAAGUAAAAUAGAAACAGCCACAAUCAACACAUAAAC